This 329-nucleotide unclassified non-coding RNA is filed under the name soil metagenome. Its description in RNAcentral is "partial contains 5.8S ribosomal RNA, internal transcribed spacer 2, and large subunit ribosomal RNA". The stretch from base 1 to 120 matches the Rfam family "5.8S ribosomal RNA", at positions 35 to 154 of the family's 154-position model. The record is from RNAcentral.
GAUGAAGAACGUAGCGAAAUGCGAUAAGUAAUGUGAAUUGCAGAAUUCAGUGAAUCAUCGAAUCUUUGAACGCACAUUGCGCCCCCUGGUAUUCCGGGGGGCAUGCCUGUUCGAGCGUCAUUACAACCCUCAAGCUCUGCUUGGUAUUGGGCCCCGCCAGUUCUGGCGGGCCCUAAAGUCAGUGGCGGUACCUUCCGGCUCCGAGCGUAGUAAUUCUUCUCGCUCUGGAGACCCGGUUGUGUGCUUGCCAACAACCCCCAAUUUUUUAAGGUUGACCUCGGAUCAGGUAGGGAUACCCGCUGAACUUAAGCAUAUCAAUAAGCGGAGGA